CCUACGGGAGGCAGCAGUGAGGAAUAUUGGUCAAUGGACGCAAGUCUGAACCAGCCAUGCCGCGUGCAGGAUGACGGUCCUAUGGAUUGUAAACUGCUUUUGUACGAGAAGAAACAACAUUACGUGUAAUGUCUUGACGGUAUCGUAAGAAUAAGGAUCGGCUAACUCCGUGCCAGCAGCCGCGGUAAUACGGAGGAUCCAAGCGUUAUCCGGAAUCAUUGGGUUUAAAGGGUCCGUAGGCGGUUUAGUAAGUCAGUGGUGAAAGCCCAUCGCUCAACGGUGGAACGGCCAUUGAUACUGCUAGACUUGAAUUAUUAGAAAGUAACUAGAAUAUGUAGUGUAGCGGUGAAAUGAUUAGAGAUUACAUGGAAUACCAAUUGCGAAGGCAGGUUACUACUAAUUGAUUGACGCUGAUGGACGAAAGCGUGGGUAGCGAACAGGAUUAGAUACCCGGGUAGUC
RNAcentral lists this ribosomal RNA (460 nucleotides) under uncultured Flavobacterium sp. Its description in RNAcentral is "bacterial SSU rRNA". It matches the Rfam family "Bacterial small subunit ribosomal RNA", at positions 338 to 795 of the family's 1533-position model. The record is from RNAcentral. Lineage: Bacteria; Pseudomonadati; Bacteroidota; Flavobacteriia; Flavobacteriales; Flavobacteriaceae.